GGUUGCGAUCAUACCAGCACUAAUGCACCGGAUCCCAUCAGAACUCCGCAGUUAAGCGUGCUUGGGCGAGAGUAGUACUAGGAUGGGUGACCCCCUGGGAGUCCUCGUGUUGCAACCCCCU
RNAcentral lists this ribosomal RNA (121 nucleotides) under Helianthus annuus (common sunflower). Lineage: Eukaryota; Viridiplantae; Streptophyta; Magnoliopsida; Asterales; Asteraceae. The record is from RNAcentral.